UGCAAGUCGAACGAAGCUUGACGGAUGAUUUCUUCGGAAUGAAACCAGAUAUGACUUAGUGGCGGACGGGUGAGUAACACGUGAGCAACCUGCCUUUCAGAGGGGGAUAACGGCUGGAAACGGUCGCUAAUACCGCAUGACGUGUUCGGAUGGCAUCAUCUGAACAUCAAAGAUUUAUCGCUGAAAGAUGGGCUCGCGUCUGAUUAGAUAGUUGGUGGGGUAACGGCCUACCAAGUCUACGAUCAGUAGCCGGACUGAGAGGUUGAACGGCCACAUUGGGACUGAGGUACGGCCCAGACUCCUACGGGAGGCAGCAGUGGGGAAUAUUGCACAAUGGGGGAAACCCUGAUGCAGCAACGCCGCGUGAAGGAUGACGGUUUUCGGAUUGUAAACUUCUUUUCUUAGUGACGAAGACAGUGACGGUAGCUAAGGAAUAAGCAUCGGCUAACUACGUGCCAGCAGCCGCGGUAAUACGUAGGAUGCAAGCGUUAUCCGGAUUUACUGGGUGUAAAGGGAGCGCAGGCGGGACUGCAAGUUGGAUGUGAAAUACCGUGGCUUAACCACGGAACUGCAUCCAAAACUGUAGUUCUUGAGUGAAGUAGAGGCAAGCGGAAUUCCGAGUGUAGCGGUGAAAUGCGUAGAUAUUCGGAGGAACACCAGUGGCGAA
RNAcentral lists this ribosomal RNA (667 nucleotides) under uncultured bacterium. RNAcentral's name for it is "bacterial SSU rRNA". It matches the Rfam family "Bacterial small subunit ribosomal RNA", at positions 56 to 719 of the family's 1533-position model. The record is from RNAcentral.